UAUUGUCUUAGAUGUGGAAGAUCUUCAAAUAGUAGGUGCCUGGACCAUGUUUCUGAAUAGUCUUGCUGUCACUGGUGGUAACGCUAUGCCUACACAGCAGUGAAGCAUAUGAAGAUGUCCACAGGACCAGGGUUCUGCUAUAACAAAUUUCUUUUUAAGGCAGAAUUUUAUGCAACAUAGGAGGAAUAUGUUAAAUGUUUCCUGGAAAUGAAUGAAAUCCUUCCAAGAGUGUAAGCACCAGGAGAAAAAGACAUGCGAUACCCUGACAUAAAAGAUCAUGCUUAGGCAAAGAAAACAGUUGGUUUUAGAAAACUCCUGGAUUAUUGUGCAGCAAAGUGUGCCUAUGAAUUUUGAAGGGAUUGCUAUGUGGCAGCAUAGCCCUGUUAAUAAGUAUUCUUCAUUUACUUCCUGGGUGUGGACGGAGCUGGCUAAAACGGAGAGAGCACUGCUGAGUGUUAAUAAGUUCAUGGAGAAGAAGGAAUUAAUGAGUUGUGUGCUGUGAUGGCAGCAAAGGCAUUGGAUGGAAAUAACUGUGGAAGGGAAGGAUCCUUGUAUAUAAGUGGAUGUGCUGCUGAUAUGAUCUCAGCAUGGUCUGGUGAGGUAUAUCCAACAGAAAAGAACAAAGCAUAGUGCCCUUAUUCUCAGAUGUUUGUGAGAUUUCAUUUAAAUUUUGCUCUUGCUUAAGCAAAGAUAGGCUGGUGCCCAUCAGGGUGCCCAGGGCUGCCAGAAGUGGUCAGAGGGACGAAGAGCUUUGAGCUAGAGAGGAGCUGGGAAGUGGAUGCUGUGUUUAGGCUGGCAAAACAAAGCCACAGAAGGGACGAAGACUGCUGCCUAUCUGCCUAUCAGCAGUGCAAAUAUCAGACGGGAUAGCAAAGAACACAUGGCAGUAAGCUAGCUGUGAACAGAAAUGUGAGUUUCAAACAAGAAAGUGCUUCCUAACCAUGAGACAAAUUUCCUAACCAGAAAAAAGCUUUUUGCAGUGAGGUUGGCCAGAUGCUGGAAGAGGUGCCCAGGUUGCCAUCAAAUCACCAGCACUGGAUAAGCACAAAGCUUGAGUGGAUGAGACUCUGAGCAACUUGGCCUAGGUUUGAACUGGCUGGUUAAGCAGGAGGUGGCCCAGACGACCUCCAGAGGUGCCUUCCACCCCGAAGAUCCCAUGUCCCAUUAAAAUGAGGACAUUCCCAGACACCCUUCACAGCAUGUUAGUGACAGGCAGAAACAAAGAAAGGAAAACCUCUCAAAACCCAAACUGCUGUUAAGGCAGAACUUUAUGACACGUUUAUUGUGCAUGUUGGUGGUAGGCAGGAAAGAGACCUGGGGACAAGGCUGUUUUUACCUGGUUUUGUGCCUUACAGAGAAGACACACAAGGACAAGGCAGAAAAUGUUUAGCCAUCUCUUUUUAUAUUUGGGUCUCAGUUUAGUAGCAGAAAUGAUGCUUUCCCUGCAUUUUUUGAAACAGAGGAACCUAGCAAAUUACUUAUUGAUUGUCUUUAUCACUUUUUUCCUCAAUUUAUUUUUCACAAGAUUCAGUAUUUUUUUUGCAGGAGAACUGAGAAUGACCAAAGUAAUGAACAAAAGGAAGUGCUGAGAGUUGGAAAAAAUCUAUCAUUUUUCAAUGAAGAAGACUAUAGAUGAGAUAGAAUGGGGAUAGAGAAAAGAGUGGGGGGAAAAGACGGGGAGGAAGGAAAAAAUCAAAAGAGUAUUCAAGAGGAGAUGAAGAAAAAGGAGGCACGGGGAAGUAGAGUUUUGCUAGAAAGAUUCACAAAUUCCAUUUAUUUUUCAGUUUCAGUGUCAAAGUCUUUUCUUAGCAAUUUAAAAAGCGAAAUGAAAUGGGGAAGCAAAGUGGACCUGACUUUCACUUUUGAAUCAUGGAAUGACAGAGCUUGUAAAAGAUGGGGCACUUGCCUGGGCAGAGUCAGCAAGAACAAUUUGUAACUCCUCACCCAGUGAGACUGCUGUUCAGCUGGGAGGACCAUCUCUCUGGGGGAGAGGCACUUGAUCCUUCAGGUCCGUUAAUUCCUGAGAGUAGCAGGAAAGAUCCCUUAAUCAUUUGCAACUCAGUUUUCUGUCGGUGUCGUUCCACUGAAAUAAAGACAGACAGUUUGGCUCCUGCUCCAGUAGACCUCCUAUUGACACAGAAAUACAUUUGAAGGCCAGGCUUAUGUUUUACUGAGCUUCAAUUUGAAGUGCAGGAAAGCAUCAUUUUUAAAACAGUAUUUUUCUGCACAGCCAUAUUUUUCACAGCACGGCCGUG
Molecule: long non-coding RNA, 2255 nt
Organism: Cygnus olor (mute swan)
Lineage: Eukaryota; Metazoa; Chordata; Aves; Anseriformes; Anatidae
Exons: 3
Source: RefSeq, a predicted model, not a curated record